UUUAAUAAUUCUCCUGUUAAAUACUUUGCUCUUCCCAUUUUUAGCAGUGGAAACUCUAGACUUGAGUGUGGUAGAGGUAGAGGGAAUUCCUAGUGUAGCGGUGAAAUGCGUAGAUAUUAGGGAGAACACCAAUGGCGAAGGCACUCUACUGGGCCAUAACUGACACUGAGAGACGACAGCUAGGGGAGCAAAUGGGAUUAGAUACCCCAGUAGUCCUAGCCGUAAACGAUGGAUACUAGAUGUUGCACGUAUUAACCCGUGCAGUAUCGUAGCUAUGGCGUUAAGUAUCCCGCCUGGGAAGUACGCUCGCAAGAGUGAAACUCG
RNAcentral lists this ribosomal RNA (324 nucleotides) under uncultured phototrophic eukaryote. RNAcentral describes it as "bacterial SSU rRNA". It matches the Rfam family "Bacterial small subunit ribosomal RNA", at positions 579 to 903 of the family's 1533-position model. The record is from RNAcentral.